This 253-nucleotide ribosomal RNA is filed under the name uncultured bacterium. RNAcentral's name for it is "partial 16S ribosomal RNA". It matches the Rfam family "Bacterial small subunit ribosomal RNA", at positions 524 to 776 of the family's 1533-position model. The record is from RNAcentral.
UACGAAGGGUGCAAGCGUUACUCGAAAUUACUGGGCGUAAAGCGUGCGUAGGUGGUUUGUUAAGUCUGUUGUGAAAGCCCCGGGCUCAACCUGGGAAUGGCAAUGGAUACUGGCAGGCUAGAGUGCGGUAGAGGGUAGUGGAAUUCCCGGUGUAGCGGUGAAAUGCGUAGAGAUCGGGAGGAACACCAGUGGCGAAGGCGGCUACCUGGACCAGCACUGACACUGAGGCACGAAAGCGUGGGGAGCAAACAGG